Molecule: non-coding RNA, 31 nt
Filed under: Rattus norvegicus (Norway rat)
Lineage: Eukaryota; Metazoa; Chordata; Mammalia; Rodentia; Muridae
Source: RNAcentral
UACAAAGUCAUCAAAUUCAAGGUGGACAGGC